Molecule: ribosomal RNA, 253 nt
Filed under: uncultured bacterium
Lineage: Bacteria
Description: partial 16S ribosomal RNA
Rfam family: Bacterial small subunit ribosomal RNA
Source: RNAcentral
UACGUAGGGUGCAAGCGUUGUCCGGAAUUAUUGGGCGUAAAGAGCUCGUAGGCGGUCUGUCGCGUCGGCUGUGAAAACCCGAGGCUCAACCUCGGGCCUGCAGCCGAUACGGGCAGACUAGAGUUCGGCAGGGGAGACUGGAAUUCCUGGUGUAGCGGUGAAAUGCGCAGAUAUCAGGAGGAACACCGGUGGCGAAGGCGGGUCUCUGGGCCGAUACUGACGCUGAGGAGCGAAAGCGUGGGGAGCGAACAGG